RNAcentral lists this long non-coding RNA (1471 nucleotides) under Malus domestica (apple). RNAcentral describes it as "long non-coding RNA (MDOM_LNC017776)". Lineage: Eukaryota; Viridiplantae; Streptophyta; Magnoliopsida; Rosales; Rosaceae. The record is from RNAcentral.
ACUAACAACAAUGAAAACUAACUAAAUAAUAUAAUUUAAUAAUGGGGGGUUUGGUUUUGACGAGAAGUAAAUUAAACUUAAAUAAAUUACAGAAUUGACAAAAACAUGAAAUUAAGGUGAAAGGAUAGGUGACGGACUAGCUAGAGGGUUCUUCUCCACACAUGACACAUAUGCAACCUAAAUUGAUUUUCAGUUGUUCUUUCAAUAAAUUGUAAAUCUCAACGCCCCAAAUUAACCGUGAAUUGCACUAAUUAACCCUCAGUUUUUCCACAAUGUUAUUGGGUUCGAUGAUUGCAUACGAAAACCCAAAACAUUCCCUACAAGUUCCCUACAUGAAUUGCAUAAUAGAGAUACAAGCAAGAAUCAUUAAGUUCUAUGAAAAACAUAAGCAUUGACGAGGCACUCGUUACUAUGAUUUGCAUGAAACUUAUGCCAAGAAUUUACUUAACGUGAUUGUGACUAGCAACCUUCACUACUUGUGAAUAUAAGUUCAUAACGAUUAGGUGAAAUUCACUUAUAUUCUAGCAUCAAAUUCAUGCAUGUAAAUUAAGUAUGCAUCCUUAAUCGACAUACAAAAAUAAGUUAUAAAUCAAGCAGUUAAGCAAAUUAAAUCACAACUCAGAAAUCACAACUGAAGGUAAUCAAUUCAUAUUACAAAUAUAUUCAUGGCUUUGAAUUAACCUCUAGCCAAAAUAAAUUUAGUUACACAUUAUUAAAACAGAAAUAAAAUAUAAGUUUGGAAAGAUUUAACCGAGAGAGAGGGCAGAUUGCUGCUUUCUUCACUGGCGUCCUCCCUGUCUUCUCUUGAUCUCUCCGCAUGUCCUCACUUCCCCCUGCUGUCCUCACCUUUCUCUGCUGUCCUCACCUUCGGUUUCUGCUUUCCUCGCUGCCCAAGGCAGCCAAGCCUUUUAUUCCUCCUGCGCAGGUUCACGCUGCAAGAGCAGCCUGAUGCGAAAUAUAUAAGCACACAAAUUUAACCCUCUUUUUGACAAUUGUAGUAUAGAUGUAAGUAGGGUAUCGUUCUAGGCCGGGGAUUAGGAGGGAUUGCUAAUCUAUUCUAAAUUAAUUUAAAAAUAUUAAAUAAGACUCAAGGACACAAAACUAGGCUAAAAACUCUAAUAACUCGAAACACACGUAGAAUGACCCAAAAUAAUGGAAACAAUCAAAUUAGACACUAGGAACUGAAAUGGACGGAAAUUGAAUUAAAAGACUAACAACAAUGAAAGCUAACUAAAUAAUAUAAUUUAAUAAUGGGGGGUGUUUGGUUUUGACGAGAAGUAAAUUAAACUUAAAUAAAUUACAGAAUUGACAAAAAUAUGAAAUUAAGGUGAAAGGAUAGAUGACGGACUAGCUAGAGGGUUCUUCUCCACACAUGACACAUAUGCAACCUAAAUUGAUUUUUCAGUUGUUCUUUCAAUAAAUUGUAAAUCUCAACGCCCCAAAUUAACCGUGAAUUGCACUAAUUAACCCU